This 594-nucleotide ribosomal RNA is filed under the name uncultured bacterium. Its description in RNAcentral is "bacterial SSU rRNA". It matches the Rfam family "Bacterial small subunit ribosomal RNA", at positions 17 to 608 of the family's 1533-position model. The record is from RNAcentral.
UCCUGGCUCAGGAUGAACGCUAGCGGCAGGCUUAAUACAUGCAAGUCGAGGGGCAGCGCGGGGAGCAAUCUCUGGCGGCGACCGGCAAACGGGUGAGGAACACGUACGCAACCUUCCCAAAACAGGUGAAUAGCCCUCCGAAAGGAGGAUUAAUACACCGUAAGAUAUUUGGUUGGCAUCAAUUGAAUAUUAUAGUUGAGGCGGUUUUGGAUGGGCGUGCGCAUGAUUAGAUAGUUGGCGGGGUAACGGCCCACCAAGUCUACGAUCAUUAACUGGUGUGAGAGCACGACCAGUCACACGGGCACUGAGACACGGGCCCGACUCCUACGGGAGGCAGCAGUAAGGAAUAUUGGUCAAUGGACGCAAGUCUGAACCAGCCAUGCCGCGUGAAGGAUGAAGGUCCUCUGGAUUGUAAACUUCUUUUAUCUGGGACGAAAACGGGAUUUUUAUCUCAAUUGACGGUACCAGAGGAAUAAGCACCGGCUAACUCCGUGCCAGCAGCCGCGGUAAUACGGAGGGUGCGAGCGUUAUCCGGAUUUACUGGGUUUAAAGGGUGCGUAGUGGGCUUAUAAGUCAGUGGUGAAAAUCCUCCGA